Molecule: long non-coding RNA, 579 nt
Filed under: Salmo salar (Atlantic salmon)
Lineage: Eukaryota; Metazoa; Chordata; Actinopteri; Salmoniformes; Salmonidae
Description: lncRNA (ENSSSAG00000115083.1)
Source: RNAcentral
GAUGACUCUGCUGUCCAUGGCUGAAAAACAGUAGCGCAUUUUGUAAGUGGUCGAUCUGAGAACAAUGAGACGGUAUUUGGAACUAAACCAACAUUUGUUGUUGAAGUAGAAGUCCUGGGAGUGCAUUCUGACAAAGAACAGCAAAGUCCGGCUGGCUUAGAUCAUGUGCUAACAACACGGAGCUUUUUGGACAUAAAUGAUGAGCUUUUUUGAACAAAACUACAUUCGUUAUGGACCUGGGAUUCCUGGAAGUGACAUCUGAUGAAGAGAAUCAAAGAUUGCAGCUGGUAGCAACAAGAAUAAGCGCUGCAAUGAUUAUGGACCCAAGAAAUACAGGAAGACACAGUACACAUGAAUCAAGUGCAAGAAAUACAUGUGCAACACACGCACAGUAAAACUCUGUCCCUCAUGUGGUGUGUAGACCGGUCUUAAUUUGUAUCCAAUGGGGCUCAUUUAUCAUUUCCAUAAAAUACUGUAUGUAAAAUGUUCCAAUGUGUUCAGUUCAAAGCAAUAAACAUCAAUAGUGAUGAAAACCUUGUUUCAUUUAUAUUUGUUCAAGAUAAACAUGAUUUAUUCCAC